GUCGCCACAGUGAAUUAGGAAUUUUAAAGGUCUUCCUCUUUAUUUUCUAUUCUCAAAUUGAAUCCCAAUCAAUCGCCCCGGUGUCGUCGUGUCAAACCCAAGACUGAUCGGUGAAGUUCGUCGGAGUUCAAAAUCAUGAACCAUAUGUCGGCUGUUUCUAAUCUUGUCUUUGGUUUUGUUGCGUUAGGGUUUGCUAAUUCGCCACGGUCCGUGAAGCAAUUAAGAGGUCCAGACAUCCCAAACAGUCUCUUUUGAAUAAUCGAAAGUGCAACUCAAGUGAGGAUAUUUGUUGUGGCGAGGGUUGUUGAUUCAUCGUUUCAUCCGAGCAGAACGAAAGGAAAGCUUUUGGUAGAUUGUUAUUUUGUUAUUUAUUAAUAGAUUUAGAUAAAAUAUUACAUUUGGGUGAAUUUUCGGAUAUUUAGAAAGCUUCAUAUGAACAAAAGUUUUUGACUUGUUUGAUCCGUAGGUGUGAG
Molecule: long non-coding RNA, 473 nt
Filed under: Helianthus annuus (common sunflower)
Lineage: Eukaryota; Viridiplantae; Streptophyta; Magnoliopsida; Asterales; Asteraceae
Description: sRNA HanXRQr2_Chr15g0675741
Source: RNAcentral